Molecule: ribosomal RNA, 484 nt
Filed under: uncultured bacterium
Lineage: Bacteria
Description: partial 16S ribosomal RNA
Rfam family: Bacterial small subunit ribosomal RNA
Source: RNAcentral
UUGAACGCUGGCGGCAGGCUUAACACAUGCAAGUCGAGCGGGGAAGGGUAGCUUGCUACCUGACCUAGCGGCGGACGGGUGAGUAAUGCUUAGGAAUCUGCCUAUUAGUGGGGGACAACAUCUCGAGAGGGAUGCUAAUACCGCAUACGUCCUACGGGAGAAAGCAGGGGACCUUCGGGCCUUGCGCUAAUAGAUGAGCCUAAGUCGGAUUAGCUAGUUGGUGGGGUAAAGGCCUACCAAGGCGACGAUCUGUAGCGGGUCUGAGAGGAUGAUCCGCCACACUGGGACUGAGACACGGCCCAGACUCCUACGGGAGGCAGCAGGGGGGAAUAUUGGACAAUGGGGGGAACCCUGAUCCAGCCAUGCCGCGUGUGUGAAGAAGGCCUUUUGGUUGUAAAGCACGUUAAGCGAGGAGGAGGCUACCGAGAUUAAUACUCUUGGAUAGUGGACGUUACUCGCAGAAUAAGCACCGGCUAACUCUGUG